This 1302-nucleotide ribosomal RNA is filed under the name Triticum aestivum (bread wheat). Its description in RNAcentral is "partial small subunit ribosomal RNA". The record is from RNAcentral. Lineage: Eukaryota; Viridiplantae; Streptophyta; Magnoliopsida; Poales; Poaceae.
AUGGGCGGCGGCGCGGCGGACCAUGGCCAGGCCAGCGCUGCCCCUCCCAUCGAUCCGGCCGUCCUUGAGCCCCGGCGCGAGCCCCGUGCUCGUCUGCUUCCGCCGCGGCACGGCCUGCAGGAGACGGCAACGCUGCCGAUCCCCGACGAGCUCGUGGCGGAGAUCUUCCUCCGGCUGCCCCCAACCGAUCUGGUCCGCGCCUCCGCCGCCUGCGCCUCGUUCUACCGUCUCAUCGCCAGCCGCUCCUUCCUCCGUCGCUUCCGCAAGCUCCACGCCCUGCCCCUCCUCGGAUUCCUCGAUCUCUCCGGGAAAUUCUUCGGAGUGGCCCCGCCUUCUCCUUCAGCGUCCGCGGCCCGCGCCGUCGCCCUCGCCGCCGACUUCUCCUUCUCCUUCCUACCCGGCCCCGCUCGGGACUGGAAGGUCCAGGACGUCCGCGGCGGCCGCGUUCUCCUCAACAGAUCUCCCUUCGACAAUCUCUCCCUGGUGGUGUGCGACCCCCUGCACCGGCGGUACCUCCUGCUUCCCCCAAUCCCUGAAGUCGAGGGGUGGCUUCCUAGUUCAGUGGACAACCCACCACGCCACACAGGACGGCAAGCCCUCCUUGGUGACGACCAGGAGGCCAUGGAAGAGACAUCGUUCACGGUGAUCUCAACUGUAUUGCGCGGAAAUAAGCAGGCCGCUUUUGUCUUCUCUUCCAGCACCGGACAAUGGCGAGCUAGUAUAUGGAACGCCGGGUUUGGUUUCUUCUUCAGGCUCUGGUACGCCAAUGGCUGCUUCUAUGGGGUGACAGAAUGCAGGAAAAAGUUGCUAGCACUUGACACCCGGAGGAUGGAGUUCUCACUUUCUGACCUCCCACCCGAAGCCGGAGAUUUUUCGCAACUAGACGUAGGUCCUUUCAAACAGUGCGUGAAUAUAGCCAUUGUGGAGGCAGGGGAAGGCAUCACUGGGAUGUUUGUGCUUCCACAUCACACAUCAAACAUCAGUUAUCUAACUAGGCGAAACAAUGGUGGGAGUUCCAGCCAGUGGCAGUUGAAGAAGACAAUCCCACUGGAUUCUUCUUGGUACAUUUUCAUUAGUUCAACAGGGAGGUACUUGCUUCUACUACGAAGGAGAAGAAUAGAAGCUUUCAUGUUGGAUAUCAAAACAUUCCAACUUGAGAAGGUGUUCAGUGAUGUCGUUUCGCGGUAUGUAUAUAGAAGCUUCCCACCGUCGUUGUUUUCGUCACCGACAAUAUCAUGCGGUGUUGAGAACGAGGCCGAGGAGACGCUGGAACAAGGCUGCACUGCAAGCUCAAGUGCAUAG